GCGGGCGUGAUCUAGCUGGUUAGGAUGUGAGCCUUCCAAGCUCAAUGCCCGGGUUCGAAUCCCGGCGCCCGCA
RNAcentral lists this transfer RNA (73 nucleotides) under Thermoplasmata archaeon. RNAcentral's name for it is "tRNA-Gly". It matches the Rfam family "tRNA". From Rfam's summary of the family: Transfer RNA (tRNA) molecules are approximately 80 nucleotides in length. Their secondary structure includes four short double-helical elements and three loops (D, anti-codon, and T loops). RNAcentral also lists the same sequence under 3 other names. Lineage: Archaea; Methanobacteriati; Thermoplasmatota; Thermoplasmata. The record is from RNAcentral.